GACGAACGCUGGCGGCGCGCUUAACACAUGCAAGUCGAACGCUGAAGCUCAGCUUUUGUUGGGUGGAUGAGUGGCGAACGGGUGAGUAACACGUGAGUAACCUGCCCCCUUCUUUGGGAUAACGCCCGGAAACGGGUGCUAAUACUGGAUAUUCACUGGUCUUCGCAUGGGGGUUGGUGGAAAGGGUUUUUCUGGUGGGGGAUGGGCUCGCGGCCUAUCAGCUUGUUGGUGGGGUGAUGGCCUACCAAGGCUUUGACGGGUAGCCGGCCUGAGAGGGUGACCGGUAACAUUGGGACUGAGAUACGGCCCAGACUCCUACGGGAGGCAGCAGUGGGGAAUAUUGCACAAUGGGCGCAAGCCUGAUGCAGCGACGCCGCGUGAGGGAUGGAGGCCUUCGGGUUGUGAACCUCUUUCGCUCAUGGUCAAGCCGCAACAAUGGUUGUGGUGAGGGUAGUGGGUAAAGAAGCGCCGGCUAACUACGUG
This 483-nucleotide ribosomal RNA is filed under the name uncultured bacterium. RNAcentral's name for it is "partial 16S ribosomal RNA". It matches the Rfam family "Bacterial small subunit ribosomal RNA", at positions 28 to 507 of the family's 1533-position model. The record is from RNAcentral.